AUAUUCCUGUACCACGUCGCACUCAUUUGACUGAUGGGGGGACGGGGAAGGCUAUGGGAACCCAGGCGAUGGUCGUCCUGGGUCAAGCAUGUAGGGGUGGCCGAUGAUAAAUGCGCGGCCGCAUAACCUGAGGUGCGAUGACAGCUGGCUUCAAGCCGGCGAGUCCCGGACGCCAUGCCUCCGAGAAAAGCCUCUAGGGAGAGUGCACGUGCCCGUACCAAAACCGACACAGGUGGGCAAGUAGAGAAUACUAAGGUGAUCGAGAUAACCAUCGUUAAGGAACUCGGCAAAAUCGCUCCGUAACUUCGGGAUAAGGAGCGCCCCAGUAAGGUGAAGCACCUCGCGUGCGGAGCCUGAGAGGGCCGCAGUGAAUAGGUUCAACCGACUGUUUACCAAAAACACAGGGCUCUGCUAAGUCGUAAGACGACGUAUAGGGUCUGACGCCUGCCCGGUGCCGGAAGGUUACGUGGAGGUGUUAGGGGUAACCCGAAGCACUGAAACUAAGCCCCGGUAAACGGCGGCGGUAACAAUAACCGUCCUAAGGUAGCGAAAUUCCUUGUCGGGUAAGUUCCGACCUGCACGAAUGGCGUAACGAGUUGAACGCUGUCUCAACGAUGGGCUCGGUGAAAUUGCAGUCUCGGUGAAGAUGCCGAGUACCCGUGGCUAGACGGAAAGACCCCGUGAACCUUUACUACAACCUGGUAUUGGAGUGCGGUGCAUCUCGCUCAGGAUAGGAGGGAGUCUUUGAAGCGCCGGCUGCGGCUGGCGUGGAGACAACCUUGAGAUACCUCCCUUGAUGUAUUGUGCUUCUAACACUGCGCCGUAAUCCGGGCAGUGAACAGUGCCAGGCGGGUAGUUUGACUGGGGCGGUCGCCUCCCAAAAUGUAACGGAGGCGCGCAAAGGUUCCCUCAGCACGGUUGGAAAUCGUGCGUAGAGUGCAAAAGCAGUAAGGGAGCUUGACUGUGAGACCGACAGGUCGAGCAGGUGCGAAAGCAGGCUUUAGUGAUCCGGCAGUAGCAAGUGGAAGUGCUGUCGCUCAACGGAUAAAAGGUACUCCGGGGAUAACAGGCUUAUCGAGUCCAAGAGUCCACAUCGACGACUCGGUUUGGCACCUCGAUGUCGGCUCGUCGCAUCCUGGGGCUGAAGUAGGUCCCAAGGGUUGGGCUGUUCGCCCAUUAAAGCGGUACGCGAGCUGGGUUCAGAACGUCGUGAGACAGUUCGGUCCCUAUCUGCCAUGGGCGUUGGAGAAUUGAAAGGAUUCGUCCCUAGUACGAGAGGACCGGGAUGAACGCACCUCUGGUGUAUCUGUUGUCCUGCCAAGGGCAUCGCAGGUUAGCUACGUGCGGACCGGAUAACCGCUGAAGGCAUCUAAGCGGGAAGCCGACCUUGAGAUGAGUUCUCCCACCUCCUUGAGAGGGUAAGAUCCCUGGUAGACCACCAGGUUGAUAGGCCGGAUCUGGAAGAGCGGUAACGCUCGUAGGAGACCGGUACUAAUGGAUCGAGGGCUUGAC
This 1512-nucleotide ribosomal RNA is filed under the name metagenome. RNAcentral describes it as "bacterial LSU rRNA". It matches the Rfam family "Bacterial large subunit ribosomal RNA", at positions 1433 to 2925 of the family's 2925-position model. The record is from RNAcentral.